Capsicum annuum is the source of this 2063-nucleotide long non-coding RNA. RefSeq lists it as uncharacterized. Lineage: Eukaryota; Viridiplantae; Streptophyta; Magnoliopsida; Solanales; Solanaceae. The record is from RefSeq and is a predicted model, not a curated record. The transcript is spliced from 2 exons.
UCACCAGCCCAACAACUCACUCUCCAACCCAAUCCCUCAAUCAGCUGACCCGGUCCGUUCCCCUAUAUCCUCUCUCCAUCAACAACAAGAACAGCAAUCCUAAAUCACGACUUCAUCAACCAAAACCAAACCCUAACCCGACGCCGAACCAACUCCGAUCCAGCCCCGUCUGAGUCAACCCGACCUUUUUCCACACGCGUCUCACUCCGUCACGUGCAAAUUCGUGCAAGAAAACCCUGAAAGGUUCUAGAAUCGGAUGAGUUAUCCCUCUCCAACGGUUCAAUCCUGUGAUUCUUGGAUGAGACGGGAUGAUUUUGUACUUAUUUAGGGGGGUUUUCAUUGGUUGAAAAGGGGAUUUGGUUUUCCCCAAUUUUGAUAGGUCCACCUUUUCUGAAUUAUCCGGGAGAUAAUCCAAAUUGGUACGUUUGUUGAUGAAUUCUCAAGCUGGAAGGGGAAUUUCGAAUUUCAAAAUUCCAAAGAUUCUCUUUUUCAAAUCCCUAAAUUACCCCUAAUUCGUCUUCUAUGUAAAGACCCACUGGAUCACUGUUUCAAGGGGUUAGAGAUGGGAAGGUUUGGAAAUUUUUGGGUUCUGAAUAUUGGAGAAAAUUUGGAGAGAAAACAGUUUCUUUUAGGGAAUUUUUUUUUUCUUUCGUUCGUCUUUUCGGGAAGUUGGUCGGCAAAUUGAAGUCCCCGAGUGGACGAAGAUUCUUCUCCUGUGGUGGAGCAUCUCGACGUUAGCUCGUUCUCCCAUUUUUCUACCCCGAAAGAGGAAAAAUUUAUCGUAGUUGGAUUUCUGGUGGAUCUUCCAUGCUUACCAGCUUCAUUCAGAAUUUGUGGGGUUUCUCCGGUCGUUAUUUCGAAUAAAGUAUUGUCAAAAUUUCCUGAUGAACUCGGUUCACUAUUUUUCGUGGCUCGCCAAAGAGAGGGGGAUGUUGGUUUAAAGAGCUUUCACUUGAAUAUUUGUUACUUUUUGCUCUUUGAAAUUUAGUUUAUUUGCAUGUUCGAUUCGGAAAUCAGAUUGCCAGAUUCCAUCUAGUAUUACUUUGGAGUGGUUGGCCUUUUGGAGUACAUUUUUGUGUUGUAUUCUAUGUAGGAAUGCUGUCGACAUCUAUGCGAAUCAAGAAAUAUUUUGUUUGAGCCUUCUUCAAAACUUUCCUAUUGUUAUGUUUUCUUCCUCUGUGAUAUCUAUUCUCUUUUAUUUUCUUUAAGCCCCUCUGUAGGACCAUGAAAAAAUUAGGAGUGUGAGUUAGAUAGAGCCUUUUAAGUGUUUUGUUUUGCGCAAGAAGUCUAUGGAUACUUGUUUUGCUGUUUAUUGAUAGAACUUAGUCAACGAACUUACUCUUUCCUAUCUAAAGAUGCUUGAUUUUCGUUAUUUUCUCUAAAAGUUCAAGACUUGUAAUCGAUUGUGCCCCAAUUAGCUAAUGAAUAAGAUUUUUCCGUAAGGAUAAUUUGAUAUUGUGUCGUUCUUCUUUUGGUCGGUCCUUCUUGAAUAAAGGUUUGAUUUUGCUUACUCGAAAUUAUGAGGCUUUCUUCACGGCCACCUUGUUUCUUUCUACAAAACUUGAGUUUCUGUAACCAUAUGCUUUCCCAAGUUUGUAAAUUACAUUCCUUCCUGCAUUUGUUGUUUGUACAUCUUUUACAGUAUCACAAAUCCACUAUCAUGUUGGGCUGAUAAUUUGGAACGAGUAUUAAUUUUCCUUUUCCUUUCUCUUCGCAUGUACUUGCCUUGGAGUCCAAAUGGACUCUUUCAUCUUGCAUUUCGUAAUGGGCCCACAUGGCCCACUUCCUCGAGUCAAACUCGAAGUUCUAAGUCCAAAAAACCGUCUCAUGGCAAACGGAUCCAAGGAAUCGAGAGAAGAAGAUUGGGUCGAAAUACAUCUCUGAAGCGGUGAAGCGGCCAAGAGACUUGAAAGUCUCGUUUUUCAUUUUAUUUUGUUUAUUUAUUUAUUGUUGUCUAUAUUUAUUUUAUUUAUUUUAUUUAUUUAUUUAUUCAUUUGGGCCUCGAAGCCAACAUUAUAAAUUUAAUACAAGUGGAGUAGAUUUUGGGCCGACGGGCUUGAAAA